RNAcentral lists this ribosomal RNA (198 nucleotides) under Ditylum brightwellii. RNAcentral describes it as "partial Bacterial large subunit ribosomal RNA". It matches the Rfam family "Bacterial large subunit ribosomal RNA", at positions 1242 to 1440 of the family's 2925-position model. Lineage: Eukaryota; Bacillariophyta; Thalassiosirophyceae; Lithodesmiales; Lithodesmiaceae. The record is from RNAcentral.
UAAGUGCUGUGAAGUCAGACCGUAAGGACUGGUGGAGCGCUUAGAAGUGAGAAUGCCGGUAUGAGUAGCGAAAGACAAGUGAGAAUCUUGUCCACCGAAUGCCUAAGGUUUCCUGAGGAAGGCUCGUCCGCUCAGGGUUAGUCGGGACCUAAGCCGAGGCUGAAAAGCGUAGGCGAUGGCCAACAGGUUGAUAUUCCU